CGGGGCGUAGCUAAAUAGCACAGCAUCUCCCUUACUCUGAGAAGACACCCGUGCAAAUCGGGUCGCCCUGA
Molecule: transfer RNA, 71 nt
Filed under: Plecoglossus altivelis (ayu)
Lineage: Eukaryota; Metazoa; Chordata; Actinopteri; Osmeriformes; Plecoglossidae
Also listed under: 1 other name
Description: tRNA-Val
Rfam family: tRNA
About the family: Transfer RNA (tRNA) molecules are approximately 80 nucleotides in length. Their secondary structure includes four short double-helical elements and three loops (D, anti-codon, and T loops).
Source: RNAcentral